RNAcentral lists this long non-coding RNA (334 nucleotides) under Elaeis guineensis (African oil palm). Its description in RNAcentral is "long non-coding RNA (EGUI_LNC060736)". The record is from RNAcentral. Lineage: Eukaryota; Viridiplantae; Streptophyta; Magnoliopsida; Arecales; Arecaceae.
UAAUUUAAUCAGAUUAAAUUAGAUUUAAAUCUAAUUUAAUUUUUUAAUCAAAUUAGAAAUUAGAUUGACCCAAGUCCUAGUUGAACUAGGACUAGUUUUUUCUUGCACUUGGCUUAUCCAAUAAACCAAUUGGACUUGAUCCAAUCAAGUCCAAACUAAAUCUAAUUAAAUUAUAUUUAAUUAUACUUAAUCUCAGUCCAUUGGCUUAAUCAAAUUAAGCCAAUUAGCAAUCGAAUUGCUAAUCGAUCCUCCUGCAACACUUACACUGGGUUAAAUGUCAAUCGUAUUGAUCAUUUAACCCUAGAACGAUUCUUAAUCGUUGAUCAACCAUCCG